RNAcentral lists this long non-coding RNA (537 nucleotides) under Panax ginseng (ginseng). Its description in RNAcentral is "long non-coding RNA (PGIN_LNC009946)". Lineage: Eukaryota; Viridiplantae; Streptophyta; Magnoliopsida; Apiales; Araliaceae. The record is from RNAcentral.
AACUGUGAUAUAUUGUUGCCCCUUUAGGUUUCUUUCGCCAUCAGGCACACCCGAGGAUCUGUUAGUGGCGGCAGUCUUGCGUAUUUUAUCCCAGCUCUCAGCUCUCUAUAGGGCGCACAUCUCAGCCCAUAUGGACUGGGUGCACCACCAGGGGCUAUGCUCGUGCAUGUAUUCCUCUCUCUGGUCUGGAUGGUCGAUUAAUGCACUGUAUAAGGCUUUUUGUCGUUCUUUGUUCAAAUUAUCUUUGGUGCGGACGACGCACUUCUGCCAUAAUAGUGUCUGUAUCACUAAAGCUUGCGCGUCCUCCCAUCUAUAUUUUUUUUGCAAAUAAAACAACAAUAAUAAUGUUAAAACGGUACUAUUAACAUAUAAUCCAACACUACUAAACAAUUUUAGUUUAAUAAUUAUAUUAUCUAUCAUAAUUAAAAAAAACAUACCUGAAAUUCAGCCCAAACUGCAUCCUUGUGGGCAAUAGGUGUGCUCGCCCACGUAAUCAUAUGUGUGGGCCAGUUCUAUAAGCACAGCUGUGAAAUGCAC